RNAcentral lists this ribosomal RNA (468 nucleotides) under uncultured bacterium. Its description in RNAcentral is "partial 16S ribosomal RNA". It matches the Rfam family "Bacterial small subunit ribosomal RNA", at positions 28 to 507 of the family's 1533-position model. The record is from RNAcentral.
GACGAACGCUGGCGGCGUGCUUAACACAUGCAAGUCGAACGGAAAGGCCCUGCUUUUGUGGGGUGCUCGAGUGGCGAACGGGUGAGUAACACGUGAGUAACCUGCACUUGACUUUGGGAUAACUUCAGGAAACUGGGGCUAAUACCGGAUAGGAGCUCCUGCUGCAUGGUGGGGGUUGGUAAGUUUCGGCGGUUGGGGAUGGACUCGCGGCUUAUCAGCUUGUUGGUGGGGUAGUGGCUUACCAAGGCUUUGAGGGGUAGCCGGCCUGAGAGGGUGACCGGCCACAGUGGGACUGAGGUGCGGCCCAGACUCCUACGGGAGGCAGAAGGGGGGAAUACUGCACAAUGGGCGGAAGCCUGAUGCAGCAACGCCGCGUGCGGGAUGACGGCCUUCGGGUUGUAAACCGAUUUCGCCUGUGACGAAGCGUGAGUGACGGUAAUGGGUAAAGAAGCACCGGCUAACUACGUG